UACGUAGGGUGCAAGCGUUAAUCGGAAUUACUGGGCGUAAAGCGUGCGCAGGCGGUUAUUUAAGACAGGCGUGAAAGCCCCGGGCUCAACCUGGGAGGUGCGCUUGUGACUGGAUAGCUAGAGUGUGGCAGAGGGGGGUGGAAUUCCACGUGUAGCAGUGAAAUGCGUAGAGAUGUGGAGGAACACCGAUGGCGAAGGCAGCCCCCUGGGCUAGCACUGACGCUCAGGCACGAAAGCGUGGGGAGCAAACAGG
This 253-nucleotide ribosomal RNA is filed under the name uncultured bacterium. RNAcentral describes it as "partial 16S ribosomal RNA". It matches the Rfam family "Bacterial small subunit ribosomal RNA", at positions 524 to 776 of the family's 1533-position model. The record is from RNAcentral.